GACGAACGCUGGCGGCGUGCUUAAAAACAUGCAAGUCGAACGGACUUCUCAUGAAGCUUGCGAUUGAGAAGUUAGUGGCGGACGGGUGAGUAACGCGUGGGCAACCUGCCCCUGAGCCCGGGAUAACAGUUCGAAAGGACUGCUAAGACCGGAUAUACUUGCGGUGAAGCAUUUCACUGCAAGGAAAGGGAACGCUCAGGGAUGGGCCCGCGUCCCAUUAGCUAGUUGGUGAGGUAACGGCCCACCAAGGCGACGAUGGGUAGCCGGCCUGAGAGGGUGAACGGCCACACUGGGACUGAGACACGGCCCAGACUCCUACGGGAGGCAGCAGUGGGGAAUAUUGCACAAUGGGGGAAACCCUGAUGCAGCAACGCCGCGUGAGUGAUGACGGCCUUCGGUUGUAAGCUCUGUCUUCAGGGACGAUAAUGACGGUACCGUGAGGAGGAAGCCGACGGCUAACUACGUGCCAGCAGCCGCGGUAAAGUGUGUGUA
RNAcentral lists this ribosomal RNA (492 nucleotides) under uncultured bacterium. RNAcentral describes it as "bacterial SSU rRNA". It matches the Rfam family "Bacterial small subunit ribosomal RNA", at positions 28 to 533 of the family's 1533-position model. The record is from RNAcentral.